This 553-nucleotide ribosomal RNA is filed under the name uncultured archaeon. RNAcentral describes it as "bacterial SSU rRNA". It matches the Rfam family "Archaeal small subunit ribosomal RNA", at positions 326 to 879 of the family's 1478-position model. The record is from RNAcentral.
CGGGGUGCACCAGGCGCGAAAACUUUACAAUGCUGGCAACAGCGAUAAGGGGACCUCGAGUGCCAGGAUACAAUCUUGGCUGUCGUGAUGCCUAAAAAGCAUUGCAUAGCAAGGGCCGGGCAAGACCGGUGCCAGCCGCCGCGGUAACACCGGCGGCUCGAGUGGUAACCGCUAUUAUUGGGUCUAAAGGGUCUGUAGCCGGCCGGAUAAGUCUCUUGGGGAAUCCGACAGCUCAACUGUCGGGCUUUCAGGGGAUACUGUUCGGCUCGAGGCCGGGAGAGGUGAGAGGUACUUCAGGGGUAGGGGUGAAAUCUUGUAAUCCUUGAAGGACCACCAGUGGCGAAGGCGUCUCACCAGAACGGUCCUGACGGCAAGGGACGAAAGCUAGGGGCACGAACCGGAUUAGAUACCCGGGUAGUCCUAGCCGUAAACGAUACUCGCUAGGUGUCGGCCACGGUGCGACCGUGGUCGGUGCCGUAGGGAAGCCGUGAAGCGAGCCACCUGGGAAGUACGGCCGCAAGGCUGAAACUUAAAGGAAUUGGCGGGGGAGCAC